Molecule: transfer RNA, 76 nt
Filed under: Planctomycetota bacterium
Lineage: Bacteria; Pseudomonadati; Planctomycetota
Description: Planctomycetes bacterium tRNA-Thr
Rfam family: tRNA
About the family: Transfer RNA (tRNA) molecules are approximately 80 nucleotides in length.
Source: RNAcentral
GCUAGCGUAGCUCAGUUGGUAGAGCUUCCGCCUUGUAAGCGGACGGUCGAGGGUUCAAGUCCCUCCGCUAGCUCCA